CCCAGCUCUCAGUCAGCUGACCAGACAUGUUGUGUCUGGUUCAGUGUUACAGGGCUGGCAGAGGGAGUCUCUGUACUUGGUCUCGGUGGUUCAGGUUCUGUUUUAGGAUCUGCUGCUGCCGAGCUGCUGCAGAGCGCCGCCCAACGAGAGUGGCCGGUUCUGAUCACCAUCAGGACCGGCCUAGUAGAGGGCUGCACACC
Molecule: small nucleolar RNA, 200 nt
Organism: Melanotaenia boesemani (Boeseman's rainbowfish)
Lineage: Eukaryota; Metazoa; Chordata; Actinopteri; Atheriniformes; Melanotaeniidae
Product: small nucleolar RNA SNORA74
Exons: 1
Source: RefSeq, a predicted model, not a curated record